Molecule: non-coding RNA, 228 nt
Filed under: Paenibacillus sp.
Lineage: Bacteria; Bacillati; Bacillota; Bacilli; Caryophanales; Paenibacillaceae
Description: T-box sequence
Rfam family: T-box leader
About the family: Uncharged tRNA acts as the effector for transcription antitermination of genes in the T-box leader family. T-boxes are found upstream of many aminoacyl-tRNA synthetase genes and some amino acid biosynthetic genes usually in Gram-positive bacteria. The anticodon of a specific tRNA base pairs to a specifier sequence within the T-box motif, and the NCCA acceptor tail of the tRNA base pairs to a conserved bulge in the T-box antiterminator hairpin.
Source: RNAcentral
CCAAUAUUAAUGAACGAGACAGUAAUUCCAGACAAAGAGUCACAGUGAGCCGGAAUAGGUGAGAUCCGGUACGGAUGAUUGGAAUGAAGCGGACUCGGGAAAUGGUCCUCCGAACACAACCGAGUAGGAGGAUCCGGUAACUGCCGUUAUCAGCAGAGUGAUUGGCCUUGUGACAGAGGACCAGUACUUAGAGUGGUACCACGGGAAGCGCGAGCUCUCGUCUCUUAU